UGGGGAAUAUUGCACAAUGGGCGCAAGCCUGAUGCAGCCAUGCCGCGUGUGUGAAGAAGGCCUCGGGUUGUAAAGCACUUUCAGCGAGGAGGAAGGUGGUGAGCUUAAUACGCUCAUCAAUUGACGUUACUCGCAGAAGAAGCACCGGCUAACUCCGUGCCAGCAGCCGCGGUAAUACGGAGGGUGCAAGCGUUAAUCGGAAUUACUGGGCGUAAAGCGCACGCAGGCGGUUUGUUAAGUCAGAUGUGAAAUCCCCGGGCUCAACCUGGGAACUGCAUUUGAAACUGGCAAGCUAGAGUCUCGUAGAGGGGGGUAGAAUUCCAGGUGUAGCGGUGAAUGCGUAGAGAUCUGGAGGAAUACCGGUGGCGAAGGCGGCCCCCUGGACGAAGACUGACGCUCAGGUGCGAAAGCGU
This 413-nucleotide ribosomal RNA is filed under the name uncultured bacterium. RNAcentral's name for it is "partial 16S ribosomal RNA". It matches the Rfam family "Bacterial small subunit ribosomal RNA", at positions 355 to 762 of the family's 1533-position model. The record is from RNAcentral.